GGGACACGUGGUAUCCUGUCUGAAUAUGGGGGGACCAUCCUCCAAGGCUAAAUACUCCUGACUGACCGAUAGUGAACCAGUACCGUGAGGGAAAGGCGAAAAGAACCCCGGCGAGGGGAGUGAAAAAGAACCUGAAACCGUGUACGUACAAGCAGUGGGAGCCUCUUAAUGGGGUGACUGCGUACCUUUUGUAUAAUGGGUCAGCGACUUAUAUUCUGUAGCAAGGUUAACCGAAUAGGGGAGCCGAAGGGAAACCGAGUCUUAACUGGGCGUUAAGUUGCAGGGUAUAGACCCGAAACCCGGUGAUCUAGCCAUGGGCAGGUUGAAGGUUGGGUAACACUAACUGGAGGACCGAACCGACUAAUGUUGAAAAAUUAGCGGAUGACUUGUGGCUGGGGGUGAAAGGCCAAUCAAACCGGGAGAUAGCUGGUUCUCCCCGAAAGCUAUUUAGGUAGCGCCUCGUGAAUUCAUCUCCGGGGGUAGAGCACUGUUUCGGCAAGGGGGUCAUCCCGACUUACCAACCCGAUGCAAACUGCGAAUACCGGAGAAUGUUAUCACGGGAGACACACGGCGGGUGCUAACGUCCGUCGUGAAGAGGGAAACAACCCAGACCGCCAGCUAAGGUCCCAAAGUCAUGGUUAAGUGGGAAACGAUGUGGGAAGGCCCAGACAGCCAGGAUGUUGGCUUAGAAGCAGCCAUCAUUUAAAGAAAGCGUAAUAGCUCACUGGUCGAGUCGGCCUGCGCGGAAGAUGUAACGGGGCUAAACCAUGCACCGAAGCUGCGGCAGCGACACUAUGUGUUGUUGGGUAGGGGAGCGUUCUGUAAGCCUGUGAAGGUGGCCUGUGAGGGUUGCUGGAGGUAUCAGAAGUGCGAAUGCUGACAUAAGUAACGAUAAAGCGGGUGAAAAGCCCGCUCGCCGGAAGACCAAGGGUUCCUGUCCAACGUUAAUCGGGGCAGGGUGAGUCGACCCCUAAGGCGAGGCCGAAAGGCGUAGUCGAUGGGAAACAGGUUAAUAUUCCUGUACUUGGUGUUACUGCGAAGGGGGGACGGAGAAGGCUAUGUUGGCCGGGCGACGGUUGUCCCGGUUUAAGCGUGUAGGCUGGUUUUCCAGGCAAAUCCGGAAAACCAAGGCUGAGGCGUGAUGACGAGGCACUACGGUGCUGAAGCGACAAAUGCCCUGCUUCCAGGAAAAGCCUCUAAGCAUCAGGUAACAUCAAAUCGUACCCCAAACCGACACAGGUGGUCAGGUAGAGAAUACCAAGGCGCUUGAGAGAACUCGGGUGAAGGAACUAGGCAAAAUGGUGCCGUAACUUCGGGAGAAGGCACGCUGAUAUGUAGGUGAAGCGACUUGCUCGUGGAGCUGAAAUCAGUCGAAGAUACCAGCUGGCUGCAACUGUUUAUUAAAAACACAGCACUGUGCAAACACGAAAGUGGACGUAUACGGUGUGACGCCUGCCCGGUGCCGGAAGGUUAAUUGAUGGGGUUAGCGGUAACGCGAAGCUCUUGAUCGAAGCCCCGGUAAACGGCGGCCGUAACUAUAACGGUCCUAAGGUAGCGAAAUUCCUUGUCGGGUAAGUUCCGACCUGCACGAAUGGCGUAAUGAUGGCCAGGCUGUCUCCACCCGAGACUCAGUGAAAUUGAACUCGCUGUGAAGAUGCAGUGUACCCGCGGCAAGACGGAAAGACCCCGUGAACCUUUACUAUAGCUUGACACUGAACAUUGAGCCUUGAUGUGUAGGAUAGGUGGGAGGCUUUGAAGUGUGGACGCCAGUCUGCAUGGAGCCGACCUUGAAAUACCACCCUUUAAUGUUUGAUGUUCUAACGUUGGCCCGUAAUCCGGGUUGCGGACAGUGUCUGGUGGGUAGUUUGACUGGGGCGGUCUCCUCCUAAAGAGUAACGGAGGAGCACGAAGGUUGGCUAAUCCUGGUCGGACAUCAGGAGGUUAGUGCAAUGGCAUAAGCCAGCUUGACUGCGAGCGUGACGGCGCGAGCAGGUGCGAAAGCAGGUCAUAGUGAUCCGGUGGUUCUGAAUGGAAGGGCCAUCGCUCAACGGAUAAAAGGUACUCCGGGGAUAACAGGCUGAUACCGCCCAAGAGUUCAUAUCGACGGCGGUGUUUGGCACCUCGAUGUCGGCUCAUCACAUCCUGGGGCUGAAGUAGGUCCCAAGGGUAUGGCUGUUCGCCAUUUAAAGUGGUACGCGAGCUGGGUUUAGAACGUCGUGAGACAGUUCGGUCCCUAUCUGCCGUGGGCGCUGGAGAACUGAGGGGGGCUGCUCCUAGUACGAGAGGACCGGAGUGGACGCAUCACUGGUGUUCGGGUUGUCAUGCCAAUGGCACUGCCCGGUAGCUAAAUGCGGAAGAGAUAAGUGCUGAAAGCAUCUAAGCACGAAACUUGCCCCGAGAUGAGUUCUCCCUGACUCCUUGAGAGUCCUGAAGGAACGUUGAAGACGACGACGUUGAUAGGCCGGGUGUGUAAGCGCAGCGAUGCGUUGAGCUAACCGGUACUAAUGAACCGUGAGGCUUAACCUUACAACGCCGAAG
Molecule: ribosomal RNA, 2538 nt
Filed under: Escherichia coli
Lineage: Bacteria; Pseudomonadati; Pseudomonadota; Gammaproteobacteria; Enterobacterales; Enterobacteriaceae
Description: partial 23S ribosomal RNA
Rfam family: Bacterial large subunit ribosomal RNA
Source: RNAcentral